This 467-nucleotide ribosomal RNA is filed under the name uncultured ciliate. RNAcentral's name for it is "SSU rRNA". It matches the Rfam family "Eukaryotic small subunit ribosomal RNA". The record is from RNAcentral. Lineage: Eukaryota; Ciliophora.
AUUUGUCUGGUUAAUUUCGAUAACGAACGAGACCUUAACCUGCUAACUAGUUCAUAAUACUCUGUAUUUUGCAACUUCUUAGAGGGACUAUGUAAAUCAAUUACAUGGAAGUUUGAGGCAAUAACAGGUCAGUGAUGCCCUUAUAUGUCCUGGGCUGCACGCGUGCUACACUGAUGCAUACAACAAGUGCCUAGCCAGACAUGGUAUGGCAAUCUCGAAUAUGCAUCGUGAUGGGGAUAGAUCUUUGCAAUUAUAGAUCUUGAACGAGGAAUUCCUAGUAAGUGCAAGUCAUCAUCUUGCAUUGACUAUGUCCCUGCCCUUUGUACACACCGCCCGUCGCUCCUACCGAUACCGGGUGAUCCGGUGAACCUUUUGGACUCUGUAAAGGGGAAGAUAAGUAAACCAUAUCACCUAGAGGAAGGAGAAGUCGUAACAAGGUUUCCGUAGGUGAACCUGCRGAAGGAUCA